AUAUAACGGAAGAGUGUAUAGUGAUGAAUUAAAUAUACAUCACUUAUUGAUGAUUGUGUCGUAAUUUCUGCAUUAAAUAAAUUAUGUAUUUCGUUCAUAGCAGUUCAAUGGCACUAAUUCCUUAAGCAACUAUUGUGAAUAUGCAAUCAUGGCGAUGAAAUGAAACAUUUGACACAAAUAAUGUAAUUGUUAGUUAGCCGAGUCUGUUUAACUGUCGUGAACUUCGUACGUUCGCUUACUCGUGGUGUCGCGUGUUCGAAUCUCGCUGCGGACGUCUGAGCUCUCAAUUUGAAUUUUACUUAAUUAAAUUGGACAUUUCUCCUUUUCGCUUCUGUUCAGUAUUUCCCCAUUGCCUUUGCCCGUAUUGCUGUACCAACGGAAAGUUGCUGCUUCAAAUGCGUUUUCCAUUACACAACGGGGCUAUAGAAAAUAUUCCUUAUCACUCCACGGGGUCUCUGCGCAUUACAAAGCUGUAGACCUCACUAACCCGGGAAUGACAAUUUUU
Bactrocera oleae (olive fruit fly) is the source of this 505-nucleotide non-coding RNA. The record is from RefSeq and is a predicted model, not a curated record. NCBI's taxonomy places the organism in Eukaryota, Metazoa, Arthropoda, Insecta, Diptera, Tephritidae.